UACAGAGGGUGCAAGCGUUGUUCGGAAUUACUGGGCGUAAAGCGCGUGUAGGCGGCGUGGUAAGUCGGAUGUGAAAUCCUUCGGCUCAACCGAAGAAGUGCAUUCGAUACUGCCUCGCUUGAGUAUCGGAGGGGAUGGCGGAAUUCCCGGUGUAGAGGUGAAAUUCGUAGAUAUCGGGAGGAACACCUGUGGCGAAGGCGGCCAUCUGGACGAAUACUGACGCUGAGACGCGAAAGCGUGGGUAGCAAACAGG
This 253-nucleotide ribosomal RNA is filed under the name uncultured bacterium. Its description in RNAcentral is "partial 16S ribosomal RNA". It matches the Rfam family "Bacterial small subunit ribosomal RNA", at positions 524 to 776 of the family's 1533-position model. The record is from RNAcentral.